Long non-coding RNA from Homo sapiens (human), 261 nucleotides. RefSeq lists it as uncharacterized. The transcript has 2 exons. The record is from RefSeq and is a predicted model, not a curated record. Lineage: Eukaryota; Metazoa; Chordata; Mammalia; Primates; Hominidae.
GCAUACACGUAGACAGAGGGGAGGAAUCUUGUGGAAUAGAAGAGGAUAGAGACACAGAAGAGAGGAUUCAUUGGUGAAAUGAAGCCUCAUGCAUGUUAAUGGGGUUACUGAAGUCAGUAGCACCUUGGGAUCUACAUCUCCAUGCUGUGGAAGGAGGGGAAUGGCUGCCUCCUAGAUGGGAACCACUGGAUUAAGUUAAUAUCAGGCUGCUCCAGAAGCAACGAAGUGACUUUGAGUAAAAGUAUCUUUCUGUGCUCUCAA